GCCCGCCUAGCUCAAUCGGAUAGAGCGUCAGACUCUUAAUCUGAAGGCUGUGGGUUCGACUCCCACGGUGGGCU
This 74-nucleotide transfer RNA is filed under the name Stereum hirsutum FP-91666 SS1. RNAcentral describes it as "tRNA-Lys (CTT) (tRNA-Lys-CTT-3-1)". It matches the Rfam family "tRNA". From Rfam's summary of the family: Transfer RNA (tRNA) molecules are approximately 80 nucleotides in length. Their secondary structure includes four short double-helical elements and three loops (D, anti-codon, and T loops). The record is from RNAcentral. Lineage: Eukaryota; Fungi; Basidiomycota; Agaricomycetes; Russulales; Stereaceae.